This 519-nucleotide ribosomal RNA is filed under the name uncultured bacterium. RNAcentral's name for it is "bacterial SSU rRNA". It matches the Rfam family "Bacterial small subunit ribosomal RNA", at positions 20 to 518 of the family's 1533-position model. The record is from RNAcentral.
UGGCUCAGAACGAACGCUGGCGGCGUGCUUAACACAUGCAAGGCGAACGCGAAAGGGACUUCGGUCCUGAGUAAAGUGGCGCACGGGUGAGUAACGCGUAGAUAACCUGUCUUCAUGUCUGGAAUAAUACGCCGAAAGGGGUACUAAUACCGGAUAUUCUUGCUUUUCAUAAGUUAUGCAAGCAAAGGUGGCCUCUGCAUAUGCUACUGCAUGAAGAGGGGUCUGCGUACCAUUAGCUAGUAGGUGGGGUAAUGGCCUACCUAGGCGACGAUGGUUAGCGGGUCUGAGAGGAUGAUCCGCCACACUGGCACUGGAACACGGGCCAGACUCCUACGGGAGGCAGCAGUGAGGAAUAUUGCGCAAUGGGGGAAACCCUGACGCAGCGACGCCGCGUGAAGUGAGGAAGGCCUUCGGGUCGUAAAGCUCUGUCAAGAGGAAAGAAGUGUACAAUGGCUAAUACCUGUUGUAUUUGACGGUACCUCUAAAGGAAGCACCGGCUAACUCCGUGCCAGCCGCUGC